CGGCGACUCUGUGCUCUUUAUACCAGGGCAAGGUUUGUUAAAGGUUUAUUGAAUGAGGCAACGUUGAUGGUGGAGCAGAUUUCAUUGAGACCUGGACAGCAACAGCGCACACAGAGAGUUCCUCUAUCCUUACGUGACUGUUGUAAUAAAGCAUCAUGUUUAACGCUUCUGGCAGCAUGUCAGACAUUGUUAGUGAAACAUUGCGCUGAUAUCAAGGUAAUUUAAACUGAUCCCUGGGUCUUCUUCUUCUGAUACUCAUGUUAAUAUGGAAAGCCAGAUCACACAUGCGCUGAAUGAGAUAAGGAAUGUUGUUGCUCAUCUUAAUGAAAGUCCUAUUAAUGCUGAUGUAGCAGAUAACAUCGGGUUAAAUGCAUCUCCUGCUAACAGUGAAAAUGUAAUAAAUCAAAAUCUGUACGGUGA
Girardinichthys multiradiatus is the source of this 420-nucleotide long non-coding RNA. RefSeq lists it as uncharacterized. Lineage: Eukaryota; Metazoa; Chordata; Actinopteri; Cyprinodontiformes; Goodeidae. The record is from RefSeq and is a predicted model, not a curated record. The transcript has 2 exons.